This 350-nucleotide long non-coding RNA is filed under the name Phoenix dactylifera (date palm). RNAcentral's name for it is "long non-coding RNA (PDAC_LNC008204)". The record is from RNAcentral. Lineage: Eukaryota; Viridiplantae; Streptophyta; Magnoliopsida; Arecales; Arecaceae.
AUAUAUAUUAAAUAUUCAUUGUCUCACAUGUUAUACUUUAUGUUUUUGCUGCUUUCUAAUUCUACCUUUUCUUUUCUUUCCCCAUUUUUUAGGUUUUCUUUCUUUUGAUGUAACUUUGUUUUGUGAGGUCAUUAGAUAGCCAGUUGAGCCAAAUCUAGGUUCCUUAAGAUAAUGACUUAUCCAAUAAAAAAUCAUUAAAACUUUUCUUAAAGGAAAAUGUUUAUCCUUCAUGAACUCCGAUCUAUUGAGAAAAAGGAUAUAAAACUAACCGCUUUCAUAGAACAAAUUGAAUCACUUGAUUCUGAUGGUUCUUGGCAGUGUGAUCCUAAUCUGAAACACACUCUAGUCUC